CGUAACGACGUGAGCGAACAUGCCCGUACGUCAGGGGAGUAAUACCAGGGAACUUAGGUCUAAUACCCCAUAGUAAUUUUGUAAGGCAUCUUAUAAGAUUUAAAGCUUUGGUGGAUACGGAUUGGCUCGCGUGACAUUAGCUGGAUGGUAAGGUAACGGCUUACCAUGGCUAUGAUGUCUAGGGGUUCUGAGAGGAAGGUCCCCCACACUGGAACUGAGACACGGUCCAGACUCCUACGGGAGGCAGCAGUGAGGAAUAUUGGACAAUGGAUGGAAAUCUGAUCCAGCCAUGCCGCGUGAAAGGAAGAAGGUCCUAUGGAUUGUAAACUUCUUUUGUAUGGGAGCAAUAAGGCCUACGAGUAGGUUGAUGAGAGUACCAUACGAAUAAGCACCGGCUAACUCCGUGCCAGCCGCCGC
Molecule: ribosomal RNA, 417 nt
Filed under: uncultured bacterium
Lineage: Bacteria
Description: bacterial SSU rRNA
Rfam family: Bacterial small subunit ribosomal RNA
Source: RNAcentral